Molecule: ribosomal RNA, 468 nt
Filed under: uncultured bacterium
Lineage: Bacteria
Description: partial 16S ribosomal RNA
Rfam family: Bacterial small subunit ribosomal RNA
Source: RNAcentral
GACGAACGCUGGCGGCGUGCUUAACACAUGCAAGUCGAACGGAAAGGCCCUGCUUUUGUGGGGUGCUCGAGUGGCGAACGGGUGAGUAACACGUGAGUAACCUGCCCUUGACUUUGGGAUAACUUCAGGAAACUGGGGCUAAUACCGGAUAGGAGCUCCUGCUGCAUGGUGGGGGUUGGAAAGUUUCGGCGGUUGGGGCUGGACUCGCGGCUUGUCAGCUUGCUGGUGGGGUAGUGGCUUACCACGGCUUUGACGGGUAGCCGGCCUGAGAGGGUGGCCGGCGACAUUGGGACUGAGGUGCGGCCGAGACUCCUACGGGAGGCAGCAGGGGGGAAUAGUGCACAAUGGGGGGAAGCCUGAUGCAGCAACGCCGCGUGCGGGAUGACGGCCUUCGGGUUGUAAACCGCUUUCGCCUGUGACGAAGCGUGAGUGACGGUAAUGGGUAAAGAAGCACCGGCUAACUACGUG